Long non-coding RNA from Tympanuchus pallidicinctus (lesser prairie-chicken), 2499 nucleotides. RefSeq lists it as uncharacterized. NCBI's taxonomy places the organism in Eukaryota, Metazoa, Chordata, Aves, Galliformes, Phasianidae. The record is from RefSeq and is a predicted model, not a curated record. The transcript has 3 exons.
CAGGAAGCAAUGAAUCUGGUGGGUUCCCUGAGAAUCAGGGAUAGAGGAUGCAAACUCCUACCUCUGAGUACUAUUUCUGUAGAGCAGUGAUGAGCCAAGUCCUUUGUGAAACACCUGCUUAUUUCCAAAGCUAGACCCUAUUUCCUUGCCCCCCUGGCUGAGUAAUAGUGUAGUGGAUCUGUGUGCUCUCCACAGGUUUUUUGUUCUGCAGGGUUCUUGCACUAAGGAGCAAGAAUUCUUUGAGGUUUUCCUUCUAGCACCCAGACUGCGUUCAGGCAAGGCAAUGAUCAUGUUUUCUGUUACAUAUGCUUUUAUAACUCUUUGGUAGAUAGCUAUUCAUUUUGAAACACCAGUUGUGAGUAUUUAAAUCAAGUCUCCAGAAACAUGGCUCUAAAUCUGUGGAAGAACUGGGCAGAAUAGUUCUGUAUUUCAGCUGCUCUGGUAGAAAAGUAACAUAUGUAAACAUCACUAAUGAAGCAGUGUGACACCUGCAGUUUGCAUGUAAGAACUUAGCAACAGCAGUCUUAUAGUGCCCAUAUUGUUAUGGACUGCAUUAGAACUGCAUUUUUUGGAAGAACUUGAUUAGAAACCAGCAGGGCUGUAUGUCUGCCAAGUAUCAGCAGACGAGGUCUUGUGAUGGGUUACCGUUAGUUUUAUUCAUGCAGGAUGUGGUACUGCUGAUUCAGCCUACCAAGAACGGUCUGGGGAGCACAGAAAUAAACAGAGUGACAUGUAUUACUUGUACUGGCUGACCUAGGUUGAUAUGUACUUCCCAAUAUCAACACUAUAGACAUCUUUGUUGUUAUAUACAUAUAUUUUAAUCUCUGACAGCAUAGCAUUAUCAGUGUGAUAGGUGCACACAAGAAUGUCAGCCAGUAAUUUCAGGAGAGGUUCAACCAGUGACCAAUUUUCCACUUACCCCACAGCUCAAUGCAGUUCAGCAUUGGAUAAUCUAUGUUACUGUUAUCUCUCUUAUAUAAAGAGAUUGAGCAAAUUGGUUUGUAAUCACUGAAGGACAAUACAGUGAGUUAAUGAUGGAGAGCAAGAACUGUACUGUAAAUAAAUUAAUUGGUCCAAAAUCUCUAAGAUCUUUACUCUGUUUUUCUUAGCACUUGUUAAAGAGAUAAAAGGCAAAGUAGCUACAGUUUUUGCAUUCUGUACGAGAUGAAAAUGUAGUGUUUUUAUAGUGCCUUUGCAGGAUGAUGUUGUUGUAGUUCAAUAUUGUCUGUACCUUUGGACACUAAAUUUCUCUCCCAAGCUUCUGACCUGUCUUUGUGCUUCUGACAGGGAAAAUUCCUACAGUCAUCAUCUUUAUAAAAUCCCUGAGUUAAGAACUUUUUCAGCAAUAUUUUUCCUCCAUAAGUCUAACUGGAAUUUAACACUACUAUAAAUUCCAUGAGUCACAGAGAAUGGCAAAAAUGGUAGUAAGAGAGAAUCAAUUAUUAAAGAAAGCAUAAAGAUUUAUCUACAGCAUCUGAGAGAAGGAGUUAGAAACAAGAAAGUCCUAUGGUAAUAUUUUUUUGAGUUUCAUUUCUUCACUCUAUAAAUUAAAUCCCAUUUGUCCCAGGGCCCUUCUCCAGUGUGUCUGGGUGAGGCAAUGCAACCCCUUGCUGCUUGCUCAGACUGCCCUAAAUCUGAUUUUGCUGGGUUUCUUUCUGCCUGUUUUGUUCCAAAAUUCUGAAUCUAUUCUGGAACACCUCAGUAAGCCUGGUUCAACUUACACUUCUUAAGAUAGAGAUAAAAUGUCAGCAUUGAAUUUGGAAUAUUUGAUCACUAGCACUUAAGCAAGAGCCACUGUUCAUUUAAGUAAAGGGAAGUAAAAUCUUGCAGGAUUGCAUUAGCAUUUCUUCUGCAGUGCAGAAAGCCUGACUGUAUAUGCAUAUAAAGUGUGGAAAAUACUAGUGAAAAUCUUCAGAUUCUCCCACAUUUUUUCAGCUUCUAAUACAAGCCUGCAGAGACAGCUGCUGUAAUUUUGAAUUCCUUUGGAAGAUGUGCCAUUCCAGUUAAAUAUCAGGUGAUACCCACUGCUAAUUAUGCAGGGGUGUAGGAAUCAAGAUGUAGCUCUCUAUUCUGCACCUGCUGUUGGAAGGACUGCUCUCUAUGUCAAGCUGGACUUGAGGACUCAAGCUGGUGAAUACACAAAAAACAUGCAGUCUGUAACCGUGGCAGUUUUGCACCGAGAAGUCAUGGGGAUGGCUGGGUCAGAGGACAUAAAGUACCUGUAAAGUCAAAAGGAAAGUGAAACGUGAGAUGGAGCAAUGAGCACUGAAAACAAUUGAUCACAUCUUUGCUACAGAAGAGGGAUAAGAGCAAAUGAAAACUGGUGAGCUCGGUGACUUGGUGUAGGAGAGGGAGAGGUAGGCUGCCCAUACUGGGAUAUAUAAACAUUAUUUGUUCCAUACAAUAUUGUUGGUUUGAUACUGUGGGAACUUGGUUGGGUUCCUAUGAAUGUUUCUUGUUUUAGAACAAAUAACAAAGCCAUUCACCCUGAUCUUUUGC